Molecule: ribosomal RNA, 917 nt
Filed under: Sydowia polyspora
Lineage: Eukaryota; Fungi; Ascomycota; Dothideomycetes; Dothideales; Dothioraceae
Description: LSU rRNA
Rfam family: Eukaryotic large subunit ribosomal RNA
Source: RNAcentral
UAAGCAUAUCAAUAAGCGGAGGAAAAGAAACCAACAGGGAUUGCCCUAGUAACGGCGAGUGAAGCGGCAAUAGCUCAAAUUUGAAAGCUGGCCUUUGGUCCGCAUUGUAAUUUGUAGAGGAUGCUUUUAGGCAGCCGCCGGUCUAAGUUCCUUGGAACAGGACGUCAUAGAGGGUGAGAAUCCCGUAUGUGACCGGCUCAGGCACCUUCUGUAAAGCUCCUUCGACGAGUCGAGUUGUUUGGGAAUGCAGCUCUAAAUGGGAGGUAAAUUUCUUCUAAAGCUAAAUACUGGCGAGAGACCGAUAGCGCACAAGUAGAGUGAUCGAAAGAUGAAAAGUACUUUGGAAAGAGAGUUAAAAAGCACGUGAAAUUGUUGAAAGGGAAGCGCUUGCAAUCAGACUUGGCCUCGGUUGUUCAACCGGUCUUUUGACCGGCCUAUUCAAUCGGGGGCAGGCCAGCAUCAGUUUCGGCGGCCGGAUAAAGGCCUUGGGAAUGUGGCCUCUCCUUCGGGGGAGGUGUUAUAGCCCAGGGUGUAAUACGGUCAGCUGGGACUGAGGUCCGCGCUUCGGCUAGGAUGCUGGCGUAAUGGUUGUAAGCGGCCCGUCUUGAAACACGGACCAAGGAGUCUAACAUCUAUGCGAGUGUUAGGGUGUCAAACCCUUACGCGUAAUGAAAGUGAACGGAGGUGGGAACCCGCAAGGGUGCACCAUCGACCGAUCCUGAUGUCUUCGGAUGGAUUUGAGUAAGAGCAUAGCUGUUGGGACCCGAAAGAUGGUGAACUAUGCCUGAAUAGGGUGAAGCCAGAGGAAACUCUGGUGGAGGCUCGCAGCGGUUCUGACGUGCAAAUCGAUCGUCAAAUUUGGGGUAUAGGGGGCGAAAGACUAAUCGAACCAUCUAGUAGCUGGUUCCUGCCGAAGU